GAUGAAGAACGUAGCGAAAUGCGAUAAGUAAUGUGAAUUGCAGAAUUCAGUGAAUCAUCGAAUCUUUGAACGCACCUUGCGCUCCUUGGCAUUCCGAGGAGCAUGCCUGUUUGAGUGUCAUUAAAUUCUCAAGACCUGUCUGCUUUUUUGAUAGGUAUUGGAUUUUGGGGGUUGCAGGCUGUUUCAAAUAAAUAGCCUUGCUCUCCUUGAAUGUAUUAGUGGAGAAAAGCCAUUGAACUCCAUUGGUGUGAUAAAACCUAUCAAUGCCAGGAGCAAUAUCACUACUUCUCUCUGCUGUCUAACUGUGACUGUCUGUAUUAAUUAGUAUGGAUGGGGACAACUAGACCAACUUGACCUCAAAUCAGGUAGGACUACCCGCUGAACUUAAGCAUAUCAAUAAGCGGAGGA
RNAcentral lists this unclassified non-coding RNA (408 nucleotides) under soil metagenome. RNAcentral's name for it is "partial contains 5.8S ribosomal RNA, internal transcribed spacer 2, and large subunit ribosomal RNA". The stretch from base 1 to 120 matches the Rfam family "5.8S ribosomal RNA", at positions 35 to 154 of the family's 154-position model. The record is from RNAcentral.